This 62-nucleotide transfer RNA is filed under the name Neotoma lepida (desert woodrat). It matches the Rfam family "tRNA", at positions 6 to 65 of the family's 71-position model. From Rfam's summary of the family: Transfer RNA (tRNA) molecules are approximately 80 nucleotides in length. Their secondary structure includes four short double-helical elements and three loops (D, anti-codon, and T loops). Further hydrogen bonds mediate the characteristic L-shaped molecular structure. tRNAs have two regions of fundamental functional importance: the anti-codon, which is responsible for specific mRNA codon recognition, and the 3' end, to which the tRNAs corresponding amino acid is attached (by aminoacyl-tRNA synthetases). tRNAs cope with the degeneracy of the genetic code in two manners: having more than one tRNA (with a specific anti-codon) for a particular amino acid; and 'wobble' base-pairing, i.e. permitting non-standard base-pairing at the 3rd anti-codon position. Lineage: Eukaryota; Metazoa; Chordata; Mammalia; Rodentia; Cricetidae. The record is from Rfam by way of RNAcentral.
UGUAGCUCAGUUGGGAGAGCACUUGCCUAGUAUGCAAGUGACCCUGGGUUCCCUUCCUAGCA